CCAGAAAAUGGCUUUCCUAUCAUUACUAUCACAGCAAUGGUGGCAAGAGCUUCAUGGAGUGACAAAGUUGACUCUUUUUCUUUAUACUCUUCUCUUACCUUUCUUAUUUCUAAGACUCCGAAAAUUAGGUGAAAAAGGCAAACUUAACUUGCCUCCAUCACCUCCAAAGUUGCCAAUAAUAGGCAACCUCCACCAGCUUGGUACACUGCCUCACCGCUCUCUUCGAAUGCUAUCAAGUAAGUAUGGCCCUCUAAUGCUCUUGCACUUGGGCCAUGUUCCAACUCUUGUGGUUUCAUCUGCAGAGAUGGCUAGAGAAAUGAUGAAAUCCCAUGAUAUUGCUUUCUCAAAUAGACCAAAAACCACAGCUGCCAAUAUCUUUUUUUAUGGAUGUAUAGAUGUGGGAUUUGCACCCUAUGGUGAUUACUGGAGACAUACGAAAAAAAUUGUUAUUCUUGAGCUUCUAAGCCUGAAAAAAGUGCAAUCGUUUCAGUUUGUGAGGGAAGAAGAAGUAACACUACUUGUCAAUUAGAUACAUGAAUGUCUCAGUAAAGGUCCAGUUAAUCUGAGUGACAUGUUGCUUGCUAUUUCCAACAAUAUUGCUUCAAGAUGUGUUCUUGGAAGUAAGUUUGGGGAAAAAGAUGGUAAGAGUACAUUUGGAGAGUUAUCAAAAAAGAUGAUGAUGCAGUUUACGGCUUUUAGUUUUGGAGAUUUCUUUCCUUCUUUGGGAUGGAUGGAUAAUUUAACAGGCUUGGUUGCAACUUUGAAAGCAUCUUUAAGAGCGAUGGAUGCAUUAUUUGAUCAACUGAUUGAAGAGUAUAAGAUGCUGAACGUGGAUGAAGAUAAGAAAGACUUUAUGCAUAUUCUCCUCAAACUUCAAAAGGAGGGUAUGCUUGAAAUUGAGCUUACCAAGGAGAAUCUCAAAGCAGUCAUACUGGACAUGUUUGUGGCGGGAACUGAAACUACUGCAACAACACUAGAAUGGGCAAUGGCAGAACUCAUAAAAAAUCCGAGUAUGAUGAAGAAAGCCCAAGAAGAGGUAAGAAGAGUAGUGGGGAAGAAAUCAAAACUAGAUGAGACUGAUAUCACCCAUUUGCCGUACUUGAAAUGUAUCAUUAAAGAAACUUUGAGACUACAUGUACCGCUUCCACUUUUAGUUCCUCGUGAAACUUCAACAAAUUGGGGGGUUAUGACAUUCCUUCGAAAGUGACAGUUUACGUAAAUGCAUGGGCAAUACAAAGGGACCCAAAACUAUGGGACCAGCCAGAAGAGUUUCUACCAGAGAGGUUCAACAAAAACCCAGUUGAUUUCAAAGGUCAUGACUUCCAUUUCAUCCCAUUUGGUAGUGGCAGAAGGGGUUGCCCAGGAAUAGCAUUUGGGAGUGCAGCAGCUGAAUAUGUGAUUGCUAAUCUUUUAUACCAUUUCAAUUGGAAGUUGCCUGGUGAUGAAGUUAUGAAGGACCUAGAUAUGAGCGAGGAAUAUGGAAUGACUGUUCAUAGGAGAUUUCCUCUUCUCCUAGUACCAGCUUUGUACUCUCCAAAUUAA
Molecule: RNA transcript, 1542 nt
Organism: Quercus lobata
Lineage: Eukaryota; Viridiplantae; Streptophyta; Magnoliopsida; Fagales; Fagaceae
Gene name: cytochrome P450 71A1-like
Exons: 2
Source: RefSeq, a predicted model, not a curated record